GCCCCAGCUCCGGCCUAAACCCCAGCUCCGGCCGAACUACCCGUCUGGGACCAAGCCCCAGUCCCAGCCCCAACCACAGGAGUGGACAAACUACCCAUCUGAGACCCAGCCCCAGCCCCAGCCCCAGCCAGGCUACCCGUCUGGGACCAAGCCACAGCAGUGGCCGAGCUACGCGUCUGGGCCCCCACAAAACGUCAAUCCAAGAAGCUCUAGACCAGCUCCGUUGGCUCCCAGGUCUUAUCGCAGGUGGCGACUAAUGGCACCUGCGUCUGACAGACCUCGUCAACCCUGAACCAGAUGAAGUUCCUGAAGGGUGGAAGGUGUUGGUCCUGGUGUGGCAUCACUAGUGCAAAAAACUCUAUUAAAGUCAAAGAAAUUACA
Long non-coding RNA from Mugil cephalus (flathead mullet), 381 nucleotides. RefSeq lists it as uncharacterized. The transcript has 2 exons. The record is from RefSeq and is a predicted model, not a curated record. Lineage: Eukaryota; Metazoa; Chordata; Actinopteri; Mugiliformes; Mugilidae.